Molecule: ribosomal RNA, 499 nt
Filed under: uncultured bacterium
Lineage: Bacteria
Description: partial 16S ribosomal RNA
Rfam family: Bacterial small subunit ribosomal RNA
Source: RNAcentral
GAUGAACGCUGGCGGCGUGCCUAAUACAUGCAAGUCGAGCGAACAGACGAGAGUGCUUGCACUCUCUGACGUUAGCGGCGGACGGGUGAGUAACACGUGGGUAACCUACCUAUAGGACUGGGAUAACUUCGGGAAACCGGAGCUAAUACCGGAUAAUAUUUAGCUUCGCAUGAAGCAAUAGUGAAAGACGGUUCUGCUGUCACUUAUAGAUGGACCCGCGGUGUAUUAGCUAGUUGGUGAGGUAACGGCUCACCAAGGCAACGAUACAUAGCCGACCUGAGAGGGUGAUCGGCCACACUGGGACUGAGACACGGCCCAGACUCCUACGGGAGGCAGCAGUAGGGAAUCUUCCGCAAUGGACGAAAGUCUGACGGAGCAAUGCCGCGUGAGUGAAGAAGGUUUUCGGAUCGUAAAACUCUGUUGUAAGGGAAGAACAAGUACGUUAGUAACUGAACGUACCUUGACGGUACCUUACCAGAAAGCCACGGCUAACUACGUG